AAGCCGUGUCGGAUGACCGCGGGCAGCUUGGUUCUGUCUGAGGAAAGUCCGGACUCCGCAGGACGCCGUAGCAGGUAACACCUGUCCGCCGCAAGGCGCGGAUUAGAGCAACAGAGACGAGCCGGUUCGGUCCGGGUGAAACGGGCAAUCUCUACGGGGAGCAACAUCAAAUAAGCAGCCGCUUGAUCCCGGUCCGGGAGAUGGCUGCGGGUAGAUGGCUUGAAGCGCGGUGUGAACUUCGCUCUAGAUGAAUGGUCGUCACCGUGCCGCUUGCGCGGCGCGGAACAUAAUCCGGCUUAUAGGUGCGACUUGCGU
Molecule: RNase P RNA, 315 nt
Filed under: Sutterella sp.
Lineage: Bacteria; Pseudomonadati; Pseudomonadota; Betaproteobacteria; Burkholderiales; Sutterellaceae
Description: RNase P RNA component class A
Rfam family: Bacterial RNase P class A
About the family: Ribonuclease P (RNase P) is a ubiquitous endoribonuclease, found in archaea, bacteria and eukarya as well as chloroplasts and mitochondria.
Source: RNAcentral